AGAGGAAUAGCUGGGUCAAAUGGUGGUUCCAUUUCCAGAUUUCCAAGGAAUCUCCAUACUGCUUUCCAUAUUGGCUGCACCAAUUUGCAGUCCCUCCAGUAAU
RNAcentral lists this microRNA precursor (103 nucleotides) under Marmota monax (woodchuck). The record is from RNAcentral. Lineage: Eukaryota; Metazoa; Chordata; Mammalia; Rodentia; Sciuridae.